UACGUAGGGGGCAAGCGUUGUCCGGAAUCAUUGGGCGUAAAGCGCGUGUAGGCGGCAUGGCAAGUCGGGUGUGAAAGCCCUCAGCUUAACUGAGGAAGUGUGCCCGAAACUGCCGUGCUUGAGUGCCGGAGAGGGUGGCGGAAUUCCCCAAGUAGAGGUGAAAUUCGUAGAUAUUCGCAAGAACACCAGUGGCGAAGGCGGCUCACUGGUCCGGUACUGACGCUGAGGUGCGAAAGCGUGGGGAGCAAACAGG
This 253-nucleotide ribosomal RNA is filed under the name uncultured bacterium. RNAcentral describes it as "partial 16S ribosomal RNA". It matches the Rfam family "Bacterial small subunit ribosomal RNA", at positions 524 to 776 of the family's 1533-position model. The record is from RNAcentral.